Mercenaria mercenaria is the source of this 665-nucleotide long non-coding RNA. RefSeq lists it as uncharacterized. Lineage: Eukaryota; Metazoa; Mollusca; Bivalvia; Venerida; Veneridae. The record is from RefSeq and is a predicted model, not a curated record. The transcript is spliced from 3 exons.
ACAAUAUACUUUUGCUGUCAAAAGAAUAUGUGCAAAAGUUAGAAGUGAAUCAUUUAGUAGUUUGUUUUGUGAUUUGAAACAAUGAGUUUGAUUUGUAUCCAUACUUAGUGUUGUAUGUACAUGGAUUUUGCAGGAAGAAUUGUUCAAUAUACAAGGAUUACAUACGGCAGGGAUGCUGCCAUUGUGUUAAAUAAUUUACUUGUGGCAAAAUUGUCAGGAAUCAGGACUAAUAAGUUAUAAUAAUUUUACUUCCUGGAUAUUUCAAUAGCAUGGAUGUUUUGACAGAUUCCUAAAAAUGUUCAUAUUUACAAAAGUUUAAUGCAUUAAAUCUGUAUAGGCCUAAUUAGUCCAGGUUUUGUCAAAACUAUUUGAUGUGUGGCUUUCAAACUUUGAACUCUUGUUCAUCGUUAUGAUCUCCAUCUGCAGUCGAAGAAGUACGUUUGCCUAAAAGAAGAAAUUAAUAGCGAGUAAAUGAUUAGCCAGACAAGACUGGAAAUGCCAAUUGAUUAUCUAUCAUUUAAAGACAAAUCGCUGUGGUUGAGAAUACUUCAUUCUGAAUUUACCAUUUCUUGAACUUCUUUUAUAUUUAUGGCACAAAUUGAACAUUUUAGAAAUUUCUGACCAUACUGUCUUUUACAAUUUUCUUCAAAACUGCUUUAAAUGAU